GAUGAACGCUGGCGGCGUGCCUAAUACAUGCAAGUCGAGCGAACGGACGAGAAGCUUGCUUCUCUGAUGUUAGCGGCGGACGGGUGAGUAACACGUGGAGAACCUACCUAUAAGACUGGGAUAACUUCGGGAAACCGGAGCUAAUACCGGAUAAUAUCUUGAACCGCAUGGUUCAAAAGUGAAAGACGGUCUUGCUGUCACUUAUAGAUGGAUCCGCUCUGCAUUAGCUAGUUGGUAAGGUAACGGCUUACCAAGGCAACGAUGCAUAGCCGACCUGAGAGGGUGAUCGGCCACACUGGAACUGAGACACGGUCCAGACUCCUACGGGAGGCAGCAGUAGGGAAUCUUCCGCAAUGGGCGAAAGCCUGACGGAGCAACGCCGCGUGAGUGAUGAAGGUCUUCGGAUCGUAAAACUCUGUUAUUAGGGAAGAACAUAUGUGUAAGUAACUGUGCACAUCUUGACGGUACCUAAUCAGAAAGCCACGGCUAACUACGUG
RNAcentral lists this ribosomal RNA (497 nucleotides) under uncultured bacterium. RNAcentral's name for it is "partial 16S ribosomal RNA". It matches the Rfam family "Bacterial small subunit ribosomal RNA", at positions 28 to 507 of the family's 1533-position model. The record is from RNAcentral.